GCCCAGGUGGCGGAAUUGGUAGACGCACUAGUUUCUGGUACUAGCGCUGAGAGGCGUGGAGGUUCGAGUCCUCUCUUGGGCACCA
This 85-nucleotide transfer RNA is filed under the name Hydrogenophaga sp. Its description in RNAcentral is "tRNA-Gln". It matches the Rfam family "tRNA". Rfam says of the family: Transfer RNA (tRNA) molecules are approximately 80 nucleotides in length. Their secondary structure includes four short double-helical elements and three loops (D, anti-codon, and T loops). Lineage: Bacteria; Pseudomonadati; Pseudomonadota; Betaproteobacteria; Burkholderiales; Comamonadaceae. The record is from RNAcentral.